AUAUUUUUAUCUGGGAGACUGCGAGUCUCUGUCUGUGCAGGGUAUUAAUGUGUCAGAGCUGCCUAUUCCAGGAUUUCUCUAGAGGCUGGCAAGAGUCCUGAAACAGUUGUCAUUUCUGUCUUGGCCAGUCUUAAAUGGGCUUGGAUCUUCCCAACCCAG
Cervus elaphus (red deer) is the source of this 159-nucleotide long non-coding RNA. RefSeq lists it as uncharacterized. The record is from RefSeq and is a predicted model, not a curated record. NCBI's taxonomy places the organism in Eukaryota, Metazoa, Chordata, Mammalia, Artiodactyla, Cervidae. The transcript has 3 exons.